CAGGCCUAACCAUGCAAGUCGAACGAGAAGCCACCUUCGGGUGGUGGACAGUGGCAGACGGUGAGUAACGCGUGGGAACGUGCCUUUCGGUUCGGGAUAACCCAGGGAACUUGGGCUAAUACCGGAUACGCCCUUCGGGGGAAAGAUUCAUCGCCGAAGAUCGGCCCGCGUCGGAUUAGCUUGUUGGUGGGGUAGGGGCCUACCAAGCGACGAUCCGUAGCUGGUCUGAGAGGAUGACCAGCCACACUGGGACUGGACACGGCCCAGACUCCUACGGGAGGCAGCAGUGGGGAAUAUUGGACAAGGGCGAAAGCCUGAUCCAGGCCAUGCCGAGUGGGUGAAGAAGGCCUUAGGUUGUAAACCCCUUUCAGCGGGGAAGAUAAUGACGGUACCCGCAGAA
RNAcentral lists this ribosomal RNA (400 nucleotides) under uncultured bacterium. Its description in RNAcentral is "bacterial SSU rRNA". It matches the Rfam family "Bacterial small subunit ribosomal RNA", at positions 43 to 486 of the family's 1533-position model. The record is from RNAcentral.